CAGCAGCCACGGGAAUACGUAGGUGGCGAGCGUUGUCCGGAAUUAUUGGGCGUAAAGGGAGCGCAGGCGGACAUAUAAGUCCAUCUUAAAAGUGCGGGGCUCAACCCCGUGAGGGGAUGGAAACUGUAUGCCUUGAGUGCAGGAGAGGAAAGCGGAAUUCCCAGUGUAGCGGUGAAAUGCGUAGAUAUUGGGAGGAACACCAGUGGCGAAGGCGGCUUUCUGGACUGCAACUGACGCUGAGGCUCGAAAGCCAGGGGAGCGAACGGGAUUAGAGACCCCCGUAGUCCCUGUCUCUUAUACC
Molecule: ribosomal RNA, 301 nt
Filed under: uncultured bacterium
Lineage: Bacteria
Description: partial 16S ribosomal RNA
Rfam family: Bacterial small subunit ribosomal RNA
Source: RNAcentral